GGAGGAGGUGCUCAGGAAGCAGAAGUACACAGAGAACGAGGCCAAGGCCAGAUUCAGUCAGGAGGCAUCACGACUCACUGCAGAGAACAUGGACUUUGAAGAGCAGCUCGACAUGAAGGACAGGUUGAUAUAAGGAAGCUACGAAACCAAAUCAAGAGCCUUCAAACAUCCGAGGAAGCCAAUCAAACACCAGCGCCCACUAUUACCAACGAAUACCUUGGCAUGUUGGAGUACAAGAGGGAGGAUGAAGCCAAGCUCAUUCAAUACGUCAUUCUGGACCUGAAGCCCAGA
Molecule: long non-coding RNA, 291 nt
Organism: Oncorhynchus masou masou (cherry salmon)
Lineage: Eukaryota; Metazoa; Chordata; Actinopteri; Salmoniformes; Salmonidae
Exons: 4
Source: RefSeq, a predicted model, not a curated record